CCUACGGGUGGCAGCAGUGAGGAAUAUUGGUCAAUGGGCGCGAGUCUGAACCAGCCAAGUCGCGUGAGGGAUGAAGGUUCUAUGGAUCGUAAACCUCUUUUAUAAGGGGAUAAAGUGUGGCACGUGUCCUAUUUUGUAUGUACCUUAUGAAUAAGGAUCGGCUAACUCCGUGCCAGCAGCCGCGGUAAUACGGAGGAUCCGGGCGUUAUCCGGAUUUAUUGGGUUUAAAGGGUGCGUAGGCGGCCUUUUAAGUCAGCGGUGAAAGGCUGUGGCUCAACCAGAGAAUUGCCGUUGAAACUGGGGGGCUUGAGUAUGUUUGAGGCAGGCGGAAUGCGUGGUGUAGCGGUGAAAUGCUUAGAUAUCACGCAGAACCCCGAUUGCGAAGGCAGCCUGCCAUGCCAUGACUGACGCUGAUGCACGAAAGCGUGGGGAUCGAACAGGAUUAGAUACCCCUGUAGUC
RNAcentral lists this ribosomal RNA (460 nucleotides) under uncultured bacterium. Its description in RNAcentral is "partial 16S ribosomal RNA". It matches the Rfam family "Bacterial small subunit ribosomal RNA", at positions 338 to 795 of the family's 1533-position model. The record is from RNAcentral.